AUUGCUUCUUGGCCAUUUGGCUAAGAUCAAGUGUAGUAUCUGUUCUUAUCAGUUUAAUAUCUGAUACAUCCUCUAUCCAAGGACAAUAUAUUGAAUGGAUUUUUGGAAUAGAGAGAUGGAACAGGAGCUUGCUCUGUCCACUCCAUGUAUCAACUUGGUAUUGCAGUCCCUCCAGGAAUGGUGCACAUUGA
Molecule: small nuclear RNA, 191 nt
Filed under: Castor canadensis (American beaver)
Lineage: Eukaryota; Metazoa; Chordata; Mammalia; Rodentia; Castoridae
Description: U2 spliceosomal RNA (ENSCCNG00000031526.1)
Rfam family: U2 spliceosomal RNA
About the family: U2 is a small nuclear RNA (snRNA) component of the spliceosome (involved in pre-mRNA splicing).
Source: Rfam by way of RNAcentral